RNAcentral lists this ribosomal RNA (464 nucleotides) under uncultured bacterium. RNAcentral describes it as "partial 16S ribosomal RNA". It matches the Rfam family "Bacterial small subunit ribosomal RNA", at positions 338 to 795 of the family's 1533-position model. The record is from RNAcentral.
CCUACGGGUGGCAGCAGUAGGGAAUUUUCGUCAAUGGGCGCAAGCCUGAACGAGCAAUGCCGCGUGAACGAGGAAGGUCUUCGGAUCGUAAAGUUCUGUUGAAGGGGAAAAAGAGCGGAGAGAGGAAAUGCUUUCUGAUUGAUAUUACCCUUCGAGGAAGUCACGGCUAACUACGUGCCAGCAGCCGCGGUAAUACGUAGGUGGCGAGUGUUAUCGGGAAUGAUUGGUCGUAAAGGGUGCGUGGGCGGCUUGCGAAGUCUGGGGUGAAGUGUACCGGCUCAACCGGUACAGGCGCUGGAAACUGGCGGGCUAGAGAGCAGGAGAGGGCGGUGGAACUCGAUGUGUAGCGGUAAAAUGCGUAGAUAUAAGGAAGAACACCAGUGGCGAAGGCGGCCGCCUGGCCUGUUACUGACGCUGAGGCACGAAAGCGUGGGGAGCAAAUAGGAUUAGAUACCCCUGUAGUC